UAUUACAGGUGUUGCAUGGCUGUCGUCAGCUCGUGUCGUGAGAUGUUCGGUUAAGUCCGCUAACGAGCGCAACCCUCGUCGUAUGUUAUAUGUGUCAUACGAGACUGCCGGUAAAAAGCCGGAGGAAGGUGAGGAUGAUGUCAAGUCAGCAUGACCUUUAUAUCCAGGGCUACACACACGCUACAAUGGUCUGUACAAUGGGUAGCCAAGCCGCGAGGCGGAGCCAAUCCUGAAAGCAGGCCUCAGUUCAGAUUGCAGUCUGCAACUCGACUGCAUGAAGCCGGAGUUGCUAGUAACCGCAGGUCAGCAAUACUGCGGUGAAUACGUUCCCGGGUCUU
This 338-nucleotide ribosomal RNA is filed under the name uncultured Anaerolineaceae bacterium. RNAcentral's name for it is "bacterial SSU rRNA". It matches the Rfam family "Bacterial small subunit ribosomal RNA", at positions 1030 to 1382 of the family's 1533-position model. The record is from RNAcentral. Lineage: Bacteria; Bacillati; Chloroflexota; Anaerolineae; Anaerolineales; Anaerolineaceae.